UGAUGGUGAUAAGGACAAUUUCUGAGUAUGCCCUUAAAUCUCUCCCAAGCUUGGUAAAGAUUUUCUCUAUUUUUCUGUCUAAAACUUAAUCUCACUCCUUAAUCA
Capsicum annuum is the source of this 105-nucleotide non-coding RNA. The record is from Rfam. Lineage: Eukaryota; Viridiplantae; Streptophyta; Magnoliopsida; Solanales; Solanaceae.